Molecule: unclassified non-coding RNA, 219 nt
Filed under: Paraglomus occultum
Lineage: Eukaryota; Fungi; Glomeromycota; Glomeromycetes; Paraglomerales; Paraglomeraceae
Description: partial contains 5.8S ribosomal RNA and internal transcribed spacer 2
Rfam family: 5.8S ribosomal RNA (bases 1-65)
Source: RNAcentral
GUGAAUCAUCAAAUCUUUGAACGCAAAUUGCGCCUUUUUCGGAAGGCAUGUCUGUUUGAGGGCACCAUUUAACAAAUAAUGUGCAUGCUGUGUGUAUUUUUACCCACACGUUCACACGUUGAUCAGCCUUUCCAAAAAAAGAAAAUUUUUUUGCUGCACAUAAUGAACAGCGCGAGCUUUCCUUCAAAUCUUCCGAGAGUAGUAAAAUUUUUUUUCGGC